AUUGCCUCAGUAACGGCGAGUGAAGCGGCAAAAGCUCAAAUUUGAAAUCUAGCACCUUCGGUGUUCGAGUUGUAAUUUGAAGAUGGUAACCUUGGGUUUGGCUCUUGUCUAUGUUCCUUGGAACAGGACGUCAUAGAGGGUGAGAAUCCCGUCUGAUGAGAUGCCCAUUCCUAUGUAAGGUGCUAUCGAAGAGUCGAGUUGUUUGGGAAUGCAGCUCUAAGUGGGUGGUAAAUUCCAUCUAAAGCUAAAUAUUGGCGAGAGACCGAUAGCGAACAAGUACAGUGAUGGAAAGAUGAAAAGAACUUUGAAAAGAGAGUGAAAAAGUACGUGAAAUUGUUGAAAGGGAAGGGCAUUAGAUCAGACUUGGUGUUUUACGAUUAUCUUCUCUUCUUGAGUUGUGCACUCGUAUUUCACUGGGCCAGCAUCGAUUCGGAUGGCAAGAUAAUGGCAGUUGAAUGUGGCUUCACUUCGGUGGAGUGUUAUAGCUUCUGCUGAUAUUGCCUGUCUGGAUCGAGGGCUGCGUCUUUUGACUAGGAUGCUGGCGUAAUGAUCUAAUGC
RNAcentral lists this ribosomal RNA (558 nucleotides) under Hansenula anomala. RNAcentral describes it as "Wickerhamomyces anomalus partial large subunit ribosomal RNA". It matches the Rfam family "Eukaryotic large subunit ribosomal RNA", at positions 74 to 645 of the family's 3401-position model. Lineage: Eukaryota; Fungi; Ascomycota; Saccharomycetes; Phaffomycetales; Wickerhamomycetaceae. The record is from RNAcentral.